GAUGAACGCUGGCGGUAUGCUUAACACAUGCAAGUCGAACGGACUCUUCGGAGUUAGUGGCGGACGGGGGAGUAACGCGUGAGAAUCUGGCUUUGGGUUCGGGACAACCACUGGAAACGGUGGCUAAUACCGGAUGUGCCGAGAGGUAAAAGAGAAAUUUCCUGAAGAUGAGCUCGCGUUUGAUUAGCUAGUUGGUGAGGUAAAGGCUCACCAAGGCAGCGAUCAGUAGCUGGUCUGAGAGGAUGACCAGCCACACUGGGACUGAGACACGGCCCAGACUCCUACGGGAGGCAGCAGUGGGGAAUUUUCCGCAAUGGGCGAAAGCCUGACGGAGCAAUACCGCGUGAGGGAAGAAGGCUCUUGGGUUGUAAACCUCUUUUCUUAGGGAAGAACAAAAUGACGGUACCUAAGGAAUCAGCAUCGGCUAACUCCGUG
Molecule: ribosomal RNA, 435 nt
Filed under: uncultured bacterium
Lineage: Bacteria
Description: partial 16S ribosomal RNA
Rfam family: Bacterial small subunit ribosomal RNA
Source: RNAcentral